RNAcentral lists this ribosomal RNA (1294 nucleotides) under Gammaproteobacteria bacterium. RNAcentral describes it as "bacterial LSU rRNA". It matches the Rfam family "Bacterial large subunit ribosomal RNA", at positions 1 to 1325 of the family's 2925-position model. Lineage: Bacteria; Pseudomonadati; Pseudomonadota; Gammaproteobacteria. The record is from RNAcentral.
UUGGUCAAGCUACCAAGGGCUGAUGGUGGAUACCUAGGCACACAGAGGCGAAGAAGGACGUGGUUACCGACGAUAUGCUCCGGGGAGUUGGAAGCAAGCAUUGAUCCGGAGGUUUCCGAAUGGGGCAACCCAGUAUACGGCCAUCUGAAUCUAUAGGAUGGCACGAGCGAACGCGGCGAAUUGAAACAUCUUAGUAGCCGUAGGAAGAGAAAGAAAACUCGAUUCCCCUAGUAGCGGCGAGCGAAGCGGGAAGAGCCUAAACCAAUGGUUUUUACUGUUGGGGUUGUGGGACAGCGUGAUGGAAUCUAGCGACUAGACGAAGCAGUUGAGAACUGCACCAGAGGAGGUGAGAGUCCUGUAGUCGAAAGUUUAAGGAUACUAGCUGAAUCCCGAGUAGCACGGGGCACGUGGAAUCCCGUGUGAAUCCGCGAGGACCACCUCGUAAGGCUAAAUACUCCUGUGUGACCGAUAGUGAAGAGUACCGCGAGGGAAAGGUGAAAAGAACCCCGGGAGGGGAGUGAAAUAGAACAUGAAACCAUCAGCUUACAAGCAGUCAGAGCCCGAUUAAACGGGUAAUGGCGUGCCUGUUGAAGAAUGAGCCGGCGACUUAUAGGCACUGGCAGGUUAAGGCGGGAAUGCCGAAGCCAAAGGGAAACCGAGUCUGAAUAGGGCGAAGUGUCAGUGUUUAUAGACCCGAACCCGGGUGAUCUAACCAUGUCCAGGCUGAAGCUUGGGUGACACCAAGUGGAGGGCCGAACCGACUGGCGUUGAAAAGCCAGCGGAUGAGGUGUGGUUAGGGGUGAAAUGCCAAUCGAACCCGGAGCUAGCUGGUUCUCCCCGAAAUGUGUUGAGGCGCAGCGGUCGUUAUUAUAGCUGGGGGGUAAAGCACUGAUUCGGUGCGGGCUGCGAGAGCGGUACCAAAUCGAGUCAAACUCUGAAUACCCAGUGAACAGACGGCCAGUAAGACGGUGGGGGAUAAGCUUCAUCGUCAAGAGGGAAACAGCCCAGACCAUCAGCUAAGGUCCCCAAAUCACAACUAAGUGGUAAAGGAGGUGAGAGUGCUGAGACAACCAGGAGGUUUGCCUAGAAGCAGCCACCCUUGAAAGAGUGCGUAAUAGCUCACUGGUCAAGCGCUCUUGCGCCGAAAAUGAAUGGGACUAAGUUGUGUACCGAAGCUAUGGACUUCUAAGGAAGUGGUAGGGGAGCGUUCUGUACGAAGCGAAGCAUUAGCGAAAGCAGGUGUGGAUUGUGCAGAAGUGAGAAUGUCGGCUUGAGUAGCGCAAACAUGUGUGAG